UUAAGCUCCUGUUUGUGUUUCUCCUUUAUACUUUACAGCAAAGGAAAAAGCAACAAGAUGUCCAUGACCUUCAUGAAGUACGGAGAGAGAAGAGGCUAUAAAUGCAAUUAGUGCUGCUGCAGACCUCUGACCCUUGAUGUUGGAGUCCUUUAGGUUUCUUAGGUAAAUUUAGCUCUUCCAUGGAACCUGAAACCUUUGGGGAAAAAAGGCUGGAGGAAAACAGAGAUCGUGCAAGGUGAAAGGGUUUCUGAGUGGAGAAUUGAAGCCGCAAACUGCACAUGUCAUCAUCUCUUUAACUCUACAGUGCACUGCUUUGUUGCUCCCUGGAUUCCUGUGAUCUUUGCUUCCAUUUUGCAGAGAUCUAGCUUCU
This 370-nucleotide long non-coding RNA is filed under the name Homo sapiens (human). RNAcentral's name for it is "HSALNT0306129". The record is from RNAcentral. Lineage: Eukaryota; Metazoa; Chordata; Mammalia; Primates; Hominidae.